RNAcentral lists this precursor RNA (1062 nucleotides) under Allapsa mylnikovi. Its description in RNAcentral is "Cercozoa sp. BSP1 partial 18S ribosomal RNA". It matches the Rfam family "Eukaryotic small subunit ribosomal RNA", at positions 85 to 1141 of the family's 1831-position model. Lineage: Eukaryota; Cercozoa; Glissomonadida; Allapsidae. The record is from RNAcentral.
AACUGCGUACAGCUCAUUAUAUCAGUAAUUAUUUAUUUGAUGGUACCUUACUACAUGGAUAACCGUAGUAAUUCUAGAGCUAAUACAUGCGUAAAGUCCCGACUCUUGCGGGGAGGGAUGUAUUUAUUAGAUAAAAAAUCAAUGCGGGUUCUGCCCGGUUAGUUGGUGAUUCAUAGUAACUGUUCGAAUCGAAUGGCUUUAUGCUGUCGAUAGUUCAUUCAAAUUUCUGCCCUAUCAGCUUUCGACGGUAGUGUAGUGGACUACCGUGGCGUUAACGGGUGACGGAGAAUUAGGGUUCGAUUCCGGAGAGGGAGCCUGAGAAACGGCUACCACAUCCAAGGAAGGCAGCAGGCGCGCAAAUUACCCAAUCCUGACACAGGGAGGUAGUGACAAAAAAUAACAAUACCGGGCCUUUUUAGGUCUGGUAAUUGGAAUGAGUACAAUUUAAAUCCCUUAACGAGUAUCAAUUGGAGGGCAAGUCUGGUGCCAGCAGCCGCGGUAAUUCCAGCUCCAAUAGCGUAUAUUAAAGUUGCUGCAGUUAAAAAGCUCGUAGUUGGAUUUCUGGCUUUGUGUAUUCGGCCCGCCGGGGUUACCCGUGUGAGUGCCGAGGUGCGCAUGCCAUCCUUCUAGUUCGAGUUUGCCCCUUCAUUGGUGGUGAGCUAGGUCUAGAUCGUUUACUUUGAAAAAAUUAGAGUGUUUAAAGCAGGCUUUUGCUAUGAAUACAUUAGCAUGGAAUAAUAAUUUAGGACUUCGGUUCUAUUUUGUUGGUUUUGCGUACUGAAGUAAUGAUUGAUAGGGAUAGUUGGGGGUGCUAGUAUUCAGUGGCCAGAGGUGAAAUUCUCGGAUUCACUGAAGACUAACUUAUGCGAAAGCAUUCACCAAGGAUGUCUUCUUUAAUCAAGAACGAAAGUUGGGGGAUCGAAGACGAUCAGAUACCGUCGUAGUCUCAACUAUAAACUAUGCCGNCUAGGGAUGGGUGGAAGGAGCAUUUUCGACUUCAUCCGCACCCNGUGAGAAAUCAAAGUGUUUGGGUUCCGGGGGGAGUAUGGUCGCAAGGCUGAA